Podarcis raffonei (Aeolian wall lizard) is the source of this 1035-nucleotide long non-coding RNA. RefSeq lists it as uncharacterized. NCBI's taxonomy places the organism in Eukaryota, Metazoa, Chordata, Lepidosauria, Squamata, Lacertidae. The record is from RefSeq and is a predicted model, not a curated record. The transcript is spliced from 2 exons.
AGCGCCUCGGGCAGAGGGUCAGAAAGGAUGGUUGCUGCAACGUCCAAAUCACGUGUGUCACUCUCUAGGUGGGAGUGUUGCUUGGUUAGGAUUCACUGGCAGUAAUGAAUGAGGGAAGGAGAGGGAAACGUCUUUACCCGCAGGGAGCUAGCUUCCAAGGAGGUCUCUGAAAGCAAGGUUCUAGUCCUCAUGGUUCUGAAUAAAGGACUGAAUCAGGAAUCGUAGAAUCGUAGAGUUGGAAGGCACCCCAGGGGUCAUCUAGUCCAACCCCCUGCAAUGCAGGAAUCUCAACCAAAGCAUCCAUGACAGACGCCCAUCCAACCUCUGCUUUAAAACCUUCAAGGAAGGAGAGUCCACAACCUCCAGAGGGAGACCGUUCCGCUGUCAAACAGCUCUGACUGUCAGAAAGUCCUGCCUGGUGUUUAGACCGAAUCUCCUUUCUUGUCAUUGGAAGCCAUUGGUUCGAGUCCUGUCCUCCAGAGCAGGAGAAAACAAGCUUGCUCCAUCUUCCAUGUGCCAGCCCUUGAGAUAUUUGAGGAUGGCUCUCAUAUCUCCUCUCAGUCUUCUCUUUUCCAGGCUAAACAUGCCCUUCAAGCACUCCUCAUAAGGCUUAGUUUCCAGACCCUUGAUCAUCUUGGUUACUCUCCUCUGCACACCUUCCAGCUUGUCAAUAUCCAUCUUAAAUUGUGGUACCCAGAAAUGGACACAGUAUUCCAGGUGGGGUCUGACCAAGGCAGAAUAGAGUGGUCCUAUGACUUCCCUUGAUCAGGACAGUAUAUUUCUGCUGAUGCAGCCUAGAAUAGCAUUAGCAAGCCUCUUCAUGCCAAGUCUAUUGGUCCAUCCAGCACAGCUUUGUCUACACUGAUUGCCAGUGGCCUUCCUGGGCAUCACACAUGAGUCUCUCUCAGCGCUGCCUUUGGAGAACCUAGGGGAUCGAACCUGCAACCUUUUGCUUGCAGGUCAGAUGUUCUGCCCCUGAGCUGUUGUCCUUCCCCCAAGAGUAAAGCAAGAUUGCAGUCCUCAUGGGUCGGGGGG